RNAcentral lists this ribosomal RNA (440 nucleotides) under uncultured bacterium. RNAcentral describes it as "partial 16S ribosomal RNA". It matches the Rfam family "Bacterial small subunit ribosomal RNA", at positions 338 to 795 of the family's 1533-position model. The record is from RNAcentral.
CCUACGGGUGGCAGCAGUGGGGAAUAUUGCACAAUGGGGGAAACCCUGAUGCAGCGACGCCGCGUGAGUGAAGAAGUAUUUCGGUAUGGUAAGCCCUAUCUGCAGGGAAGAAAAUGACGGUACCUGAUUAAGAAGCCCCGUCUCAAUACGUGCCAGCAGCCGCGGUAAUACGUAGGGGGCAAGCGUUAUCCGGAUUUACUGGGCGUAAAGGGGGCGUAGUCGGCAGCACAAGUCUGGAGUGAAAUGCCGGGGCUUAACCCCGGAACUGCCUUUGAAACUGUGAAGCUAGAGUGCAGGAGAGGUAAGUGGAAUUCCCAGUGUAGCGGUGAAAUGCGUAGAUAUUGGGAGGAACACCAGUGGCGAAGGCGGCAUACUGGACUGACACUGACGUUGAGGCACGAAAGCGUGGGGAGCGAACAGGAUUAGAUACCCUUGUAGUC